AGUGAACGCUGGCGGUAGGCCUAACACAUGCAAGUCGAACGGCAGCACAGUAAGAGCUUGCUCUUACGGGUGGCGAGUGGCGGACGGGUGAGGAAUACAUCGGAAUCUACUUUUUCGUGGGGGAUAACGUAGGGAAACUUACGCUAAUACCGCAUACGACCUACGGGUGAAAGCAGGGGAUCUUCGGACCUUGCGCGAUUGAAUGAGCCGAUGUCGGAUUAGCUAGUUGGCGGGGUAAAGGCCCACCAAGGCGACGAUCCGUAGCUGGUCUGAGAGGAUGAUCAGCCACACUGGAACUGAGACACGGUCCAGACUCCUACGGUAGGCAGCAGUGGGGAAUAUUGGACAAUGGUCGCAAGCCUGAUCCAGCCAUACCGCGUGGGUGAAGAAGGCCUUCGGGUUGUAAAGCCCUUUUGUUGGGAAAGAAAAGCAGCAGGUUAAUACCCCGCUGUUCUGACGGUACCCAAAGAAUAAGCACCGGCUAACUUCGUG
This 492-nucleotide ribosomal RNA is filed under the name uncultured bacterium. RNAcentral describes it as "partial 16S ribosomal RNA". It matches the Rfam family "Bacterial small subunit ribosomal RNA", at positions 29 to 507 of the family's 1533-position model. The record is from RNAcentral.